AACGAACGCUGGCGGCAGGCCCAAAACAUGCAAGUCGAACGCUCUAGCAAUAGAGAGUGGCGCACGGGUGAGUAACAUGUGGGAAUAUGCCUCUUGGUACGGAACAACUUUUGGAAACGAAAGCUAAUACCGUAUGGUCCCUUCGGGUAAAGAUUUAUCGCCAAGAGAGUAGCCCGCACUAGAUUAGCUAGUUGGUAAGGUAAUGGCUUACCAAGGCGACGAUCUAUAGCUGGCUGAGAGGACGAUCAGCCACACGUGGGACUGAGACACGGCCCAGACUCCUACGGGAGGCAGCAGGUUAGGAAUCUUGGACAAGUGGGCNCAAGCCUGAUCCAGCCAUGCCGCGUGAGUGAU
RNAcentral lists this ribosomal RNA (354 nucleotides) under uncultured bacterium. RNAcentral describes it as "bacterial SSU rRNA". It matches the Rfam family "Bacterial small subunit ribosomal RNA", at positions 29 to 409 of the family's 1533-position model. The record is from RNAcentral.